Macaca mulatta (Rhesus monkey) is the source of this 919-nucleotide non-coding RNA. NCBI's taxonomy places the organism in Eukaryota, Metazoa, Chordata, Mammalia, Primates, Cercopithecidae. The record is from RefSeq and is a predicted model, not a curated record.
UACCCCAUUUUUAAGGCAUAAAUGUAUGUAUUUUUAUUUUUAAGCUGAGUUAUAUCUGAGAAAGAACACAUACUUUCAUCAGAAAUGAUAAAAACAUGGUUUGGAGAAAUGUUACUACAAAAGAACAACACGUCAGACUUUCAUGUACUGUAAGUUCAAAGAGACUGUUUCAUGCUGAGUAAGCACAAAGGAAGGAUUGGUCCUUGGAAAACACUGAAAGCAGCUCUUCUCCAUGAGACUUAAGAAAACAGAAUCAAGUGAAUCUAGAAAGAGUUACCAACCUGAAUUUAAAGGGUGGAGAGAAUGAUGUAAAAACCUUGUGGCCGUUGCAGAUUCUCAUUCUGGAUCAAAGGAAGGGUAAAGGCUGUGUCUGUUAGCCAACACUACAGUGUUAUGAGUACACUAAAGCUCCUGGAAGGAUGCAGCAUUCAAGGUUCUGUCUUGGAAGCAGAGACUGGGCCCUCACCAGAUGCUGAACUUGCUGAGCACCUUGAUCUUCCACUUCACCUUCAUCAGAACUGCAUACGUCUUAGAUAGGAGAAUGCUAUUGGAAUUUCUGGUCUCUGCAUUGAGGGGCUGUUGGUCUUUUGGAAAGAUGUGCUUAUUGAAUGGGACAAGCCAGAUCCAAGAGGCAUCGCUAGGGCUACUCCCAGACCUACUUGUGAUUCAAGGCUGUGCUUCUCCUCUGCACAUGAGACAGACUGUUUGCUGUGAUUGCACUUGCCAUCUUAUGCAGAAAUGACCUGAAGACAGACUGAAACAACAUGUUCUACAGCCUGAAAAUAUCUACCUUGACGUACAGUUUCAUUAAUGCUGUUGUGAUCAGACUGGGCAAAAAUUAGCAUAUGUUACUAACUAAUCUACUUCGAGUGCCAAUUCUUAAUAAAAACAUAAAACAAUAAAAGCAAUUCAGAAAAUA